Long non-coding RNA from Neopsephotus bourkii (Bourke's parrot), 928 nucleotides. RefSeq lists it as uncharacterized. Lineage: Eukaryota; Metazoa; Chordata; Aves; Psittaciformes; Psittacidae. The transcript is spliced from 2 exons. The record is from RefSeq and is a predicted model, not a curated record.
ACAUGUCAUCUCUGGUUGUUUUUGUUUGUUUGGGGUUUUGUUUUGGGGUUUUAGGUACUGGUUUCCACUUCCCUGAGUGCUUCCCCAACACUGGGCUUAACCUUACUUCUGUCUCUAGUCCUCUUUGAGCACCAGCUUGUGAUGACUCGGCUCUCCUGAGGCCUCUCCAGUGCUUUCAUCCCGGAAUCAUUCAACCUACCCCUUAAAUCCAUCAGAGAUUAUUUGGAUUCUGUGUGUGCUCCUUUCUCUUCCUUCAAGGCCACAUGACUUCCACUCUUUCCUUGCGUCUUCCAACUUCCCUGUUCCCAUGCUUGUUUCCUGUUCCUUUUGAGUCUCUGCCAGGAAGCGUUGCACAAAGUGAUACUUUGGGAUGUGCAGUGGAGGGGCCACAGGACAUUAACCCUGCUCUCAGAGGUCCCUUUAGAAAAAACAUCCUUUAAAUGCCAACAAAGAGGUUUUAAUUUUUAAGCUGAUGAACAAAUAAUUUGUCCAGAGUCAAAACAUUUGUGCUGAUAAUGGUGCUGUGCCCUGAGGGAACUAAUUUGCCUCUCUUACACUGCUUGACUUCCCUGCUCACAGAUAACUCAGCCCAGUGAUAUCCCAUGUUGUAACCCAGUUCAAGACUCAGCCCUCUUGCAAGAAGGACAUGCUGCAUCUUUGGAAGACCUGAGUGCAAUGUUAAGUGUCACAGCAGGAGUAGAACCCAGUACCUUGUGCUAACUCACUGCACCUCCUCUCCAUGCGAAAGCACGGGGUGCAGAACAGGAGAUACUUGUGUGCCCUGACAAGAACAGAAACACUGAAAACAUGAUGCCAACAGCAGGCAACAACCUGAAGGACUCUUGAAAUGUGCUGUGGGGGCCUUUGCCCCUCCACUGAGCACUGCAAACACACUUCCUCUUCUAGGAAAUUAAACUCUUAACAGACA